RNAcentral lists this ribosomal RNA (253 nucleotides) under uncultured bacterium. RNAcentral describes it as "partial 16S ribosomal RNA". It matches the Rfam family "Bacterial small subunit ribosomal RNA", at positions 524 to 776 of the family's 1533-position model. The record is from RNAcentral.
GACAGAGGGUGCAAACGUUGUUCGGAAUUACUGGGCGUAAAGCGAGUGUAGGCGGUCUACUAAGUCGGAUGUGAAAGCCCCGGGCUCAACCCGGGAAGUGCACUCGAAACUGGCAGGCUAGAGUAUCGGAGAGGUUGGUGGAAUUCUCGGUGUAGAGGUGAAAUUCGUAGAUAUCGAGAGGAACACCGGUGGCGAAGGCGGCCAACUGGACGAAUACUGACGCUGAGACUCGAAAGCGUGGGGAGCAAACAGG